Drosophila grimshawi is the source of this 2650-nucleotide RNA transcript. It is a transcript of the gene named stromal interaction molecule homolog, with no coding region annotated. The transcript has 10 exons. NCBI's taxonomy places the organism in Eukaryota, Metazoa, Arthropoda, Insecta, Diptera, Drosophilidae. The record is from RefSeq and is a predicted model, not a curated record.
GAAGCACAAUCUAAAUUGGAAUUUGCUAACAACUAUUAAACAAAUACGUUACUGAAUACUUGAAACGUUAUAUACGCACUACAAUAUGCUCAAUAAAUAUAUUUGGAACUACUCUGUAAUUGUUCUAUUGUACUACAUAUCGGAAACCUCUUGUCUUGUGAGCAUUAUGAACGUAGGCAUCCCAGAAAAUGAAAUCAUUUUAAAUCGUUACAACACGCAUGGGGAACACCAUGAGGAAAAUAUGAAAGAAAAACCAAGCGUACAUAUGAAAACAGCUACCACGUCUCCAGCGGCGGUAACACAUGCGGGAUCUUCACUGACAGUACAUAUGUCGCAGUCCCAUACUGGCAGUGGUGAAAAUUCUCUUCAUUUUGAGCAACAGCGUCCUAGAAGUUCAUACAACCUGCUAAGCGAAGCAAUGUCUCAGGCGGUUAGCAAUGAAUUCAGUUCUUUGACCACUUCAUCGGAUGUCACAUGCAAUGCAAAUGACUUCGACUGUGAGAACGGAAACGUGCAGGAUCGGCUUGGCAUGGAGGCAAUCGCCAGUUUACACCGGCAAUUAGACGAUGAUGAUAAUGGAAAUAUCGACUUGAGUGAAUCGGAUGAUUUUCUCCGCGAAGAACUCAAGUAUGACUCCGGCUAUGAAAAGCGUCAGAAAGCAUUUCAUUUUAAUGAUGACAUGCAUAUAUCAGUUAAAGAACUGUGGGAUGCAUGGUUGCGCUCAGAGGUACAUAAUUGGACCAUUGAACAAACAACAGACUGGUUGGCACAGUCAGUUCAACUACCUCAGUAUGUCGACCUUUUCAAAUUACAUAAGGUUACUGGUGCCGCUUUACCAAGAUUGGCUGUAAAUAAUCUGCAUUAUGUUAGCAAUGUGCUGGGCAUAAAAGACCCCAUACAUAAACAAAAAAUAUCACUGAAAGCGAUGGAUGUUGUGCUAUUUGGACCACCGCGAGAGACAGGCACACGCUGGAAAGACUAUAUUCUUGUCACUCUCUUACUGAGCGCUAUUAUAGGAUGUUGGUAUGCUUACCAACAGAACAAAAAUGCUAAGAGGCAUUUGCGUCGCAUGGCACAGGAUAUGGAAGGAUUGCAACGUGCUGAACAAAGUCUACAAGAGAUGCAAAAGGAGCUAGAGCUUGCGCGCAUGGAACAGGAAAAUGUGGCAACGGAAAAAAUGGACCUUGAGCGUCGUCUAAAGGAAGUACCUUCAGUUAGUUCCUCAAGCUCAGAUUUGGAGGUACAGCAGUUAAAAAAGGAAAUCGAAAUGUUACGCAAUGAAUUAACACGUGCCGAGUUCGAGCUGGUGGAUAAUUGUUGGGCGCCUCCUCAACAAUUACAGUCAUGGCUACAGUACACAUAUGAGUUAGAAAACAAGAACCAUCAGAAAAAGCGCAGUUCUGCCGAGAAACAACUGCAAUCAGCUCGGGAAGCGUGCGAAAAAUUACGUAAAAAGCGAUCUAGCUUGGUAGGAGCUUUUGUUUCAACGCACGGUAGAAGCAUUGAUGAUGUUGAUCGCUCAAUAGUUGAAGCGCGAAAUUCUCUUGGAGAAGUAACUAAUGAGUUACAGGAACGUCUUCAUCGUUGGAAACAAAUUGAAACGUGCCUCGGAUUGAAUAUUGUCAAUAACAACGGAUUACCUUACUUAGAAAAUGUUCUUUACAGUCGCAAUGGAGGUAUUUCUAGCAGUGGCGGUAUAAGUUCCACAAAAGGUUCUAGAGCCAGAAUCACAAGCAGCACCGAUGACUUGGACGAUGAAUCAGUACAAGGUGCCAUCGAUAGCAACAGUCGAGGCUCGACAAGUGCCAGUGCUGUCACGAAUCACAUUACACGAGACGAUAGUUCAUGCAGUGACGAGGGUACCGACAACCAAUCAGUUCAAUUUUAUAUAGGCAGGAUUACACCUCCCAUAUCUAUGCUAGCGACAGAUCGAUUUAGGCCACUAGAGGAAAUCAAAGCUUGUAAUCACGUUGGGCUGAGUAAUGCAACAUCAACCAAUGAUUCACCGACAUGUUUGGAACAAAAUAUCUCGUCUAUGACAACUCUAAGCAAUAGAUUGAUGCUGAUUUCAGACGACCUUUCAAAACCAAUGAUUUUAUUAAAAGGUGGGAGGAGUUUAAAAUAAAAAGCCGCCCUUAUUCGACGAAAAUAUUAAAAAGAUCAAGAGCCUUUAUUUAAAUCGUUUGAAGAUCAAUCAAAUGAUACAGAAGAUUUAUUAAUAGUAUUAAUGAUGCAUGCUUUGUUGGUGCCGACCAGAAGAGCAAAAGAUAAUUUAAUUGGCAAAGUACUUUUUAAGCAUAGCUUUGAAAACUUACUUAAAAGCCCGGACUCUUUCAGAAUCUAUUAAUAGUUAAAUAACACAAAUCAGUAAUCCCAUUAACAUACACAUCCUUUACAGCUUCUUUUUCUCUUGUAUAUGGUCAAGUUAGAUAUACGCGUACACGAAUUAAAGAUAAUUUAUACUAUUUAUACCAUGUAUGAAAAACACCAACUAACUUAAUUAUAGUACUAAUUUUCUUAAGACAAAUAUUAUUUUUAGAUUUAUUAGUACAUUCAAUGUAACAUAUCCUACGUGAUGUAAGUAUUGUAUACCAUUGUAAAACGAAAAAAUGGUUUAAAUUUUUUUAAAUAAAAACCAUGAAAUUCCGAU